CAGCCGCCGCGGUAAUACGAAGGGUGCAAGCGUUAAUCGGAAUUACUGGGCGUAAAGCGUGCGUAGGCGGUUUGUUAAGUCUGUUGUGAAAUCCCCGGGCUCAACCUGGGAAUGGCAAUGGAUACUGGCAAGCUAGAGUGUGUCAGAGGAUGGUGGAAUUCCCGGUGUAGCGGUGAAAUGCGUAGAGAUCGGGAGGAACAUCAGUGGCGAAGGCGGCCAUCUGGGACAACACUGACGCUGAGGCACGAAAGCGUGGGGAGCAAACAGGAUUAGAUACCCGGUAGUCCCUGUCUCUUAUACA
This 301-nucleotide ribosomal RNA is filed under the name uncultured bacterium. RNAcentral's name for it is "partial 16S ribosomal RNA". It matches the Rfam family "Bacterial small subunit ribosomal RNA", at positions 509 to 808 of the family's 1533-position model. The record is from RNAcentral.